AACGAACGCUGGCGGCAGGCCUAACACAUGCAAGUCGAACGAACCUUUAUGGUGAGUGGCGCACGGGUGCGUAACACGUGGGAAUCUACAUCUCGGUAAGGAAUAACUCAGAGAAAUUUGGGCUAAUACCUUAUAAUGACUCCGGUCCAAAGAUUUAUCGCCGAGGGAUGAGCCCGCGCUAGAUUAGUUUGUUGGUGAGGUAAAAGCUCACCAAGACUACGAUCUAUAGCUGGUCUGAGAGGAUGAUCAGCCACACUGGAACUGAGACACGGUCCAGACUCCUACGGGAGGCAGCAGUGAGGAAUAUUGGACAAUGGGGGCAACCCUGAUCCAGCCAUGCCGCGUGAGUGACGAAGGCCCUAGGGUUGUAAAGCUCUUUCAGAUGCGAAGAUAAUGACGGUAACAUCAGAAGAAGCUCCGGCUAAAUUCGUG
RNAcentral lists this ribosomal RNA (432 nucleotides) under uncultured bacterium. RNAcentral's name for it is "bacterial SSU rRNA". It matches the Rfam family "Bacterial small subunit ribosomal RNA", at positions 29 to 507 of the family's 1533-position model. The record is from RNAcentral.